GCCCUACGAGGGGCAUCAGUGUUUAAUCUUGCGCAAUUUUUUCAACCCUGACGCAGCAACGCCGCGUGAUUGAAGAAGGCCUUCGGGUUGUAAAGAUCUUUAAUCGGGGACGAAUUUUGACGGUACCCGAAGAAUAAGCUCCGGCUAACUACGUGCCAGCAGCCGCGGUAAUACGUAGGGAGCAAGCGUUAUCCGGAUUUACUGGGUGUAAAGGGCGUGUAGGCGGGCAUGCAAGCCAGAAGUGAAAUCUGGGGGCUUAACCCCCAAACUGCUUUUGGAACUGCGUGGCUUGAGUGAUGGUGAGG
This 305-nucleotide ribosomal RNA is filed under the name uncultured bacterium. Its description in RNAcentral is "bacterial SSU rRNA". It matches the Rfam family "Bacterial small subunit ribosomal RNA", at positions 335 to 657 of the family's 1533-position model. The record is from RNAcentral.